AUGGAACUGCCUAUUGCGCUGCGAAAGGGGGCGCGCGAAGCAGUAAAGAAGGCUUUACCACUGGAUGCUCUUUAUGAUCAUGAAAUUGGCAAUUUUGUGCCUUGUGAGGCUUUAUCUCCUUCCUACAGAGCGUUUUGUCUCUCUCUACAAACAGUGACAAUCCCAAAGGAUUGGAAGGCUGCAAAGCAAGAUCCGAAGUGGCAUGAAAUGAUGAUAGAGGAGUUGGAAACACCGAAGAAAAACAAAACGUUGGCACUAACCACAUUGCCGGCAGAAAAGAACAUACUGAGUUGUAAGUGGAUCUAUACCAUGAAGCAAAAUCCUGAGAGAAAGGUGUAA
This 339-nucleotide ribosomal RNA is filed under the name Triticum aestivum (bread wheat). RNAcentral's name for it is "partial small subunit ribosomal RNA". Lineage: Eukaryota; Viridiplantae; Streptophyta; Magnoliopsida; Poales; Poaceae. The record is from RNAcentral.